GAUGAACGCUGGCGGCGUGCUUAACACAUGCAAGUCGAACGGAGGUUAUGUGGGUGCUUGCACCGGUAUAACUUUAGUGGCGGACGGGUGAGUAACGCGUGGGCAACCUGGCCUGUGGAGGGGGAUAACAAUGAGAAAUCAUUGCUAAUACCGCAUAAGCUUACACUAAAGCAUUUUAGAGUAAGAAAAGAUUUAUCGCCGCAGGAUGGGCCCGCGUCUGAUUAGCUAGUUGGUGUGGUAACGGCAUACCAAGGCAACGAUCAGUAGCCGACCAGAGAGGGUGAACGGCCACAUUGGGACUGAGACACGGCCCAAACUCCUACGGGAGGCAGCAGUGGGGAAUAUUGCACAAUGGGGGGAACCCUGAUGCAGCAACGCCGCGUGAAGGAAGAAGGCUUUCGGGUUGUAAACUUCUAUCGACAGGGACGAAGAAAGUGACGGUACCUGAGGAAGAAGCCCCGGCUAACUACGUGCCAGCAGCCGCCGC
This 487-nucleotide ribosomal RNA is filed under the name uncultured bacterium. RNAcentral's name for it is "bacterial SSU rRNA". It matches the Rfam family "Bacterial small subunit ribosomal RNA", at positions 28 to 521 of the family's 1533-position model. The record is from RNAcentral.